RNAcentral lists this ribosomal RNA (253 nucleotides) under uncultured bacterium. RNAcentral's name for it is "partial 16S ribosomal RNA". It matches the Rfam family "Bacterial small subunit ribosomal RNA", at positions 524 to 776 of the family's 1533-position model. The record is from RNAcentral.
UACGGAGGAUGCAAGCGUUAAUCGGAAUUACUGGGCGUAAAGCGUGCGCAGGCGGUUGUGCAAGACAGAUGUGAAAUCCCCGGGCUUAACCUGGGAAUUGCAUUUGUGACUGCACGGCUAGAGUGUGUCAGAGGGGGGUAGAAUUCCACGUGUAGCAGUGAAAUGCGUAGAUAUGUGGAGGAAUACCAAUGGCGAAGGCAGCCCCCUGGGAUAAUAUUGACGCUCAUGCACGAAAGCGUGGGGAGCAAACAGG